CACUGGGAUGGAUGAGCAGCAGAGACAGGGAGACCUGGCCCUCCCAGAACAGAGUGAAGCUGACCAGUCACAGGCUGAGAUGCUUUUAUUGGCGAGUACAGAUAUCCCUAACUUAUAUAACAAGGAAAAACAAUCUAAUCAAUUUUAUGAGCUUGGAAUAUAUUUUAUACUAAAACUAGGUAAGUAUGAUACAAGAAAAACACAGGCCCAUUUUAUUCAUGGACAUGAUUUUUAGAUUCUCUGUCUCUUUCUCUCUGUGUGUAUGUGCAUAUAUGUAUAUACAUACAAAAGUAUAUAGGUAGAUUAAAUAUAUACAGAUGUGUGUGCAUUUGUCAUGGUUGAUUAUGGGUGAAUUCAGGGUUGUAAAAAUAGUUCUAGAGUGAAAAAUCUUGUUGUAUCAUUUAUAUAUUAAUAGACUAAAGACAAAAUCUUAUGAUUUUUCACUGUUCUCAGGCUUAUCUGAUUGGGAUUGCAGUUGCAAUAAAAGCAUUUGAUGUAUUUCAACAUUUACUUAGCAUUAAAAUUCAGUAAUAGGAAAUCUUAAACAUUUUAAAAAUCAAGGAGACAAGGACACUAGCCACCACUGACUCAAUUAAUGUUCAACAUAAUGUUAGAAGUCCUGAACAAUAAAAUAAAGCAAACAAACAAAAAUCCAAGGUAUGAGACUGAUGGGGGAGAAGCGACUUUUUUUCUCUUCUUUUCUUUGUUUUUUGUAGGUGUUGUGACUGUCUACAAAGAAACCAGAGUUAGCAAAUUAUUAGCAUGAAGAUAGUCAGCAAGGAGUGGAAUGCAAAACAAACUCACAAACUCAAAAGCAUUUCAGUUAUAGAAAAUACAAUUGAAGAAGCUCUGUCCUUAAUGGAGACAGCAAUGUUCAACUCUGAAUGAAAUGCCAAAAACAAGUACCUGAAAGCUAAAGACAGUGAACAAAAGCAGGCAAGUUUUGGUGGGAAGAUGAAACUUGGAAGAAGGUGCCAUUAAGAGGAGGUAAGUUUCCUGUUUUUGAUGUGUUAACCUGAGGGCAGUCCACUAAGAGAGUAGCUAAAACACAAUAGAAAUAGAAAGCCAUCUUUUUUUUUUUUUUGGCUUCAACAACCUGAGAGCAGAGUCUGCAGCAACACAGUCACUGGAAGGAGGGGGAAAUCCUAGAACACAGAGAGACAGAGAAGGUCAUGCCCCAAUUUCUGAGUAUGAACUUUGCUUAGAUCUCUAGCUGACCCCUGAAGCACACCUAUGGGGUAGACACAAAGCAGUCUGCAGCUAGUCAGAACUCAACUGAGAUGUGAGUUACUUAUAACCACAGGUUGGGUCAGUUUGCAGUUUGAGUUGAACCAAGUUAAUCGAUUGCCUGCCACAACAAAAACAUCGACACUAUUCUGAGGAGUAAAACAGAAUCCGUGAUCUCCACAACGUAACAGUCACAAUGUCCAGGACACAAUUCACAAUUACUCAGCAUAGGAGGAACCAGAAAAAUGCAGUCCUUUGCAAAAGAUAAGACAAUUAAUGGAAACCAACCCUGAGAAAACAUAGAUGUUGGCCUGAUCAGAUAAGGACUUUGAAACAGCUAUUAUAACUAUGCUCAAUGAGGUAAAAGAAAAUAUGUUGUAAUGAAUGGAAGAUAAGAAAUCUCAGCAAGGAUGGAGAAAUAUUUAGAAAUGUUGAUGAAAAGAGUCAAACUCUGUAAAAUAUUUGAAUAGCUUUAUUCUGAGCCAAAUCUGAGUGACCAUGUGACACAGCCCUCAGGAGGUCCUGAGAACAUGUGCCCAAGGCGGUUGGGGUUCAGCUUGGUUAUAUAUAUUUAGGGGAGGCAUGAGAUAUCAAUCAAAUACAUUUGAAAAAUACAUUGGUUUGUUCCAGUAAGGCAGGACAAUUUGAAGUCGGGGGGAUGAUGCUUCCAGGCUAUAGGUAAAUUUAAUCAUUUUCGGAUUGACAAUUGGUUGAGUUUGUCUAAAGACCUGGAAUUAAUAGAAGAAUUUGAGCAAGAUAAAAAAACCAGAGCUUAGUCCUCAGAAAGAACCAAACAAAUUUUACAAAAGAACAAACAAUAUCUGAGAUAAAAAUAUAUCUCUUAAUUCACUACGCUAAACUGCCCCCCUGCUUUUCAGUGUUUAUCUGUAAGAUCAAGUUUAUGUUUAUCAAUUGUGUUUAGACCUUGUCUCCAUUUACUAAGUUAAGGUCUUUUUGAUUUAUAAGUUUCUGAAAGAGGCCUAAUAAAAAUUCCCACUAUAGCUGUGGCUAUAUCAAUUUUAGCUUGUGAUUCUGACUGUUCCCACUUAUGUAUGUUGAGAUUUUUUGCUAGGGCCAUUCACAUUUAUUAUUAUUAUAUCUUCUUUGUAAAUUGUUCCUUAUGUAGCAUCUCACUUUAUCCUUAUUUAUGUCUUUUCUUAAAUUCUAUUUUCUUUACUUUUUAACAUCAAUAUUUUGUCAAA
This is a long non-coding RNA of Cercocebus atys (sooty mangabey), 2429 nucleotides long. RefSeq lists it as uncharacterized. The transcript is spliced from 3 exons. The record is from RefSeq and is a predicted model, not a curated record. NCBI's taxonomy places the organism in Eukaryota, Metazoa, Chordata, Mammalia, Primates, Cercopithecidae.